UACGUAGGGGGCAAGCGUUGUCCGGAAUUAUUGGGCGUAAAGAGCGCGUAGGCGGUCCGAUAAGUCGGCUGUGAAAGUCAGGGGCUCAACCCUUGAAAGCCGGCCGAUACUGUCGGACUAGAGUCCGGAAGAGGCAAGUGGAAUUCCCGGUGUAGCGGUGAAAUGCGCAGAUAUCGGGAGGAACACCGGUGGCGAAGGCGGGUCUCUGGGCAGUAACUGACGCUGAGGAGCGAAAGCGUGGGGAGCGAACAGG
RNAcentral lists this ribosomal RNA (253 nucleotides) under uncultured bacterium. RNAcentral describes it as "partial 16S ribosomal RNA". It matches the Rfam family "Bacterial small subunit ribosomal RNA", at positions 524 to 776 of the family's 1533-position model. The record is from RNAcentral.